Molecule: ribosomal RNA, 478 nt
Filed under: uncultured bacterium
Lineage: Bacteria
Description: partial 16S ribosomal RNA
Rfam family: Bacterial small subunit ribosomal RNA
Source: RNAcentral
GACGAACGCUGGCGGCGUGCUUAACACAUGCAAGUCGAACGGUAAGGCCCUUCGGGGUACACGAGUGGCGAACGGGUGAGUAACACGUGGGUGAUCUGCCCUGCACUUCGGGAUAAGCCUGGGAAACUGGGUGUAAUACCGGAUAGGACCACUGCCUGCAUGGGGGGUGGGGGAAAGCUUUUGCGGUGUGGGAUGGGCCCGCGGCCUAGCAGCUUGUUGGUGGGGUGAUGGCCUAGCAAGGCGACGACGGGGAGCCGGCCUGAGAGGGGGACCGGCCACACUGGGACUGAGAUACGGCACAGACUCCUACGGGAGGCAGCAGUGGGGAAUAUUGCACAAUGGGCGCAAGCCUGAUGCAGCGACGCCGCGUGAGGGAUGACGGCCUUCGGGUUGUAAACCUCUUUCAGCACCGACGAAGCGCAAGUGACGGUAGGUGCAGAAGAAGGACCGGCCAACUACGUGCCAGCCGCCGCGGUAA